This 686-nucleotide long non-coding RNA is filed under the name Setaria viridis. RNAcentral describes it as "long non-coding RNA (SVIR_LNC000013)". The record is from RNAcentral. Lineage: Eukaryota; Viridiplantae; Streptophyta; Magnoliopsida; Poales; Poaceae.
UGAGAUGCAUUUUGAAUUGGUUUCUUGGGAACACUUCGAAGGAGUUGAUCGACCAACAUUGUUGCAUUGAGAUUGUCGGUCUGCACAGGAUAACAGUGUUCUGGCAACACUGUUAGGCAUAAAUGUCUGAACCACUGAAAUGGAGCAACCAUCCUGAUUCACAGAAACAGUUGGCAAUGUUGUUGCAUGACCUGCAUUUUGGACUUUCUUCAAACAAUUUGAGCAGUUCCAUCGCCGAAACUGUGCCCCUGAUAUUGGGCAUGGAUUUUUGCAUUGUUCUUCAUCAUGGUCACAAGAUAUCUGAGACAGAGAGCAAAGUUCUGGAUCCUUUUGCUGUAGCAGAGCGACACACCUCCUGUAAGGAGCAGAAGUUAUCAAUACAACACCGAAUAUAAUGUUUUCUCCGAUACAAAGAGCCAAAGAUAGAGAUUGACAGGCUACAAAUCAUAUGAGCGUAGUGCUAGGUACGUUAUAAUUUUGCUCCCUUGAAAUAAACGACAGUGAUUGAAGGGCUACAAAACCAAGACUGCAAAACUAUUUCAAAUAAGUACACAACUCUAGUUGAAUAUUGAUCUCAAAAAAAACUCUAGUUGAAUAUUAACUAAGCUGCAAUACAAAAAAAAAAAUAUUUCAGCGAUAAAUGUGAUGGGCAUUAUGCCUAUUCCACACACACACACACACACACA